UUCCAGAACACAGCCCUCAGCUUCCUCACCGCCUAGCUAUGUGCUCAGUGACCAUCCUGCUGUUUGGAAUGCUCUUCACAGUGAGAGGAACGGGAGCCCAGUCAGUGACUCAGCCUGAUGCCCAGGUGUUGGUCUCUGAAGGAGCCCGUCUGGAGCUGAAGUGCAACUAUUCCUCUAGUGGAACAACUUAUGUCUUCUGGUACGUGCAGUACCCCAACCAAGGACUCCAGCUUCUCCUCAAGUACAUAUCAGGGGACAUCCUGGUUAAAGGCAUCAACGGUUUCGAGGCUGAAUUUAGGAAGAAUGAAAACUCCUUCCACCUGAGGAAAUCCCCAGCCUUUGGCAGCGACGCGGCUGAGUACUUCUGUGCUUGUGCUAGGUCAUCCAACUAUCGGUUGAUCUGGGGCUCUGGGACCAAGCUAAUUAUAAAGCCAGCUAUUCAGAACCCUGACCCUGCCGUGUACCAGCUGAAAAGCCCUGAAUCCAGUAACAUCUCUGUCUGCCUGUUCACUGAUUUUGAUUCGGAAGUCAAUGUGAAACCAUCCACAGAGUCCAACAUGAUUAGAUUGAAAAGUACUUCACUGGACAUGAAGACUAUGGAUUCCAAGAGCAACGGGGCCCUGGCCUGGAGCAACAGCUUUGAUUUGGGAUGCAACAGUACCUUCAACUACACCUUCCACUCCAGCUCAGAAUUUCCCUGUGAUGCCAAUGUGGUAGAGAAAGGCUUUGAAACAGAUAUGAACCUAAAUUCCCACAACCUGACAGUGAUCAUGCUCCGCAUCAUCUUCCUGAAGGUGGUUGGCUUUAACCUGCUCAUGACGCUGAGGCUGUGGUCCAGCUGAGGUCGCCAAGAAUGUGAGAGCCCAGCGCUCCCCUGCUCCUCCCACACCUUCUCCCCCUCUUCAAGAAGAGAGGCACACUCUCUGCCCCCAUGGAGAAUAAGGUUCCCUCCACCUCUCUGGUCCCACUGGCAACGCCACUGACCGAACCCUAGCAGACAUUUGUGAUCAAGAUGCUGAAGAGCUGCCAAACACCGCUGCCACACCCUCUGUCCCCUCAUCGCUGCUUGUCACUGCCUGACACUCCCAGCAAAGGAGCUGCUGCUGUGGCCUCACCUGGCUGGGGAGAAACUCCCCGACCUUCCCCUGAGACUGCCCAUAUGUCCCCUGGAUGAGGGAUCCCCAGUGGGUCCUCUCGGGCUCUAGCUCCUGGAGAAUGUUGUGAGGAGUUUAUAUAUUUUAAAUUAUGUUCAUAAAGGAAUAACACAUCACACUUGUCCCCAAGAUGUGAGGAAAAUUAUUAUCUAGGCCCUGCUGUGCUGUGUAUCUGAGCCACAUUGUAUAUUCUGCUACCCAUGACUUCAUUAAAGGCGAUUGAAAGAGCA
This is a non-coding RNA of Puma concolor (puma), 1384 nucleotides long. The record is from the annotation of a RefSeq genome assembly. Lineage: Eukaryota; Metazoa; Chordata; Mammalia; Carnivora; Felidae.